Molecule: ribosomal RNA, 403 nt
Filed under: uncultured bacterium
Lineage: Bacteria
Description: bacterial SSU rRNA
Rfam family: Bacterial small subunit ribosomal RNA
Source: RNAcentral
UGAGGGAUAUUGGUCAAUGGGCGCAAGCCUGAACCAGCGACGCCGCGUGGGUGAAGAAGGUCUUCGGAUCGUAAAGCCCUUUUCCCACUGAAGAGGAAGGACGGUAGGUGGGGAAGAAGUCUCGGCUAACUACGUGCCAGCAGCCGCGGUAAAACGUAGGAGACAAGCGUUAUCCGGAGUUACUGGGCGUAAAGGGCGUGCAGGUGGCGUCUUAAGUCUGUUGUGAAAGCGCCUGGCUUAACCGGGCGAGGCCAAUGGAGACUGAAAGGCUGGAGGAAGGCGUAGGGGUGUGGAAUUCCGGGUGUAGUGGUGAAAUGCGUAGAGAUCCGGAGGAACACCAGAGGCGAAGGCGGCACUCUAAGCCGUACCUGACACUGAGACGCGACAGCACGGGGAGCAAACG